UUUGCCUUUCUGGCCCCGCUUUCCCAUUGCAACAGCAUUCCGCUGGCGGGUCCUCCUUACAGCGGGCUUAGCUGGCUCCUCAUCUAGAGACCAGGUUUGUUCUUGGGGAUGGACCUCUGUCUUGUUCUCCAUGUUAGAGGAAGACUAAGGAAAAGGUGACUGACGUCCUUUAUGGACUCUGAGCCUCAGCAUCAGACGGUGGAGGCUCUGACUCCUGAGAGCAGGAAACAGGUUUGCAAUAUUUUUCUGUCUAUGUUUGAAAAUCUUUACACUUUAUUUUGUUUUUCUACCUUGUACUAUUUUAAUGACAAGACGCCAAACAAAUAUCAAACAUCAAAUAAGCUUCUAAACUUAUAGAUGUGGCUUGUUGGACCGGAUCAUAUCGGUUUUCAGUCUUGAUCUCCAGAUGCUGAACCUCGGGGAACCGUGUCGCCUUUUUCCCGUUGUAAAUAGAGAGCGGGGGCUGCAGCGAGUAGGCCCUUUCCGUUACUGAGCACCGGGCCUGGCCUGGUUUGUAGUGUAGUCGAACUAAACGUACCACAUUGUUACAAAACUAUGUUUAUUGAUGCCAAAUUUGUAAAUGUUAGAGAACUCAAUGAACCUUUUUCUAAACGAAAAUUAGAGCCAUCGCCUAUCUGCAUCCACAAGCUUUCAUACUGGGUUCAGUACCAACUAGCCUGCUCCAGAAUGACGUUCAAUUUAAAUUAUGGUCGGACUGGGUCACUUUGACUGACAGCCAUUUAGACAAAGUGUUCACACUAGACAUCAAUCAGGUACUGGCCCGGAGACCGCCCAGGUAAGGUGUGUCCGACAAUGGAAACACAACUAAAUGCUACUGUAUGCUAGCGGUAGAAAAGCUAAGCGCAGCACAGUCAGGGUUAGCAUCCAGGAGCUAGCACGAUGCUAACUCGCGCCCUACUUUAACAAUAAUGGCUAAAUUAAAACUGGAAGCUACUAACAAAAACACAAUAACAAAUAAAAGUCGACAACGUCCUCACCGGCUAACAGCCAAACUCUUCUUCUUCUUCUUCUUCUUCUGUGUCGUCUUCUUCUUCUUUGAAGAUCUACGUCAGCCGCCAUCCAAAAUUGUUACAUUUCUGCCACCUACAGGACAUUGGUCUUCUUCUUCCUCUUUUGGGUUAAACGGCGGCUUGCGUCAUCAGCGUUGCACUGUCGAUUCUAGAACCCCCAAAUUCCUUUCUCUAGCCCAAUAAAACUAAAACUAAACUUAAACUUAGUCAGGAUCCUGUUUGUAGACUUCAGCUCUGCUUUGAACACAAUAGUUCCAUCCCUGCUUCAUGACAAACUCUCCCAGCUGAAUGUGCCUGACUCCAUCUGCAGGUGGAUCACAGACUUUCUCAAUCACAGACAGCAGUAUGUGAGGCUGAGGAAGCUUGUCUCUGAUUUCUGGAGCAUCAGCACCGGAUCCCCCCAAGGCUGUGUCCUUGCCCCCCUGUUAUUCUCCCUGUACACAAACAGCUGCACAUCUGGACACCAGUCUGUCAAACUCCUGAAGUUUGCUAUUAGGGAAGGAAGGGCUAUAGGCUAUUAGGCUAAAGACAUAGACUGGUGCUUUUAUUCUGAAACGAUUUGAAUGUGCUUAACAAAUAAAAAGCUCAAGGUUGAAAUAGUUUAAAAGUCGACCUGAUGGAAAGGUUAUUAUGCUAAUACAACAUUAUCCAUUAAUCAUAGGUUAACAGGGCUGAGAGAGGACAAAGCUGAAAAGGUGUCUCCAGAGGGGGGCCAAAGAUUAUAAAUAUGUUGUAAUUUUAACAUACUUAAGGUAUUAAUCAAAGGGUUGAAAUUUUUAAGUUCAAAAGGCGUAAACCCAAUAUAAAAGUAAAAACUCAAACAACGUGCAUCAAACAUUGUAAGUUUCAAUGAGCAUUUUAUUAUUAUUUUAAGACAUUGUACAGAAGUGGUCCGAGGGGGGGGGUUAUUCCCCUCCCUGAACAGCUAAGGCUUAUGGGUAAAGUAACUGUUCUUGUGUUUGUAGUGCUAUAGUUAAAGCUAGGAUUUAAGUAAUGUUAUAACUUUGGUGAAUUAAAUUUAUCCUUUUGUUCA
This is a long non-coding RNA of Betta splendens (Siamese fighting fish), 2064 nucleotides long. RefSeq lists it as uncharacterized. The record is from RefSeq and is a predicted model, not a curated record. The transcript has 2 exons. NCBI's taxonomy places the organism in Eukaryota, Metazoa, Chordata, Actinopteri, Anabantiformes, Osphronemidae.